GAACGGGUGAGUAACACGUGGGUAACCUGCCCCGAUGAUUGGGACAACCCGAGGAAACUCGGGCUAAUACCAAAUGUGACUCUGGCCAUAAAAGGCCAGAAGGAAAGGAAGCUUCGGCCUCCGCAUCGGGAUGGGCCCGCGGCCCAUUAGCUUGUUGGUGGGGUAAUGGCCUACCAAGGCGACGAUGGGUAGCUGGUCUGAGAGGACGAUCAGCCACACUGGGACUGAGACACGGCCCAG
Molecule: ribosomal RNA, 240 nt
Filed under: uncultured bacterium
Lineage: Bacteria
Description: partial 16S ribosomal RNA
Rfam family: Bacterial small subunit ribosomal RNA
Source: RNAcentral